RNAcentral lists this ribosomal RNA (253 nucleotides) under uncultured bacterium. Its description in RNAcentral is "partial 16S ribosomal RNA". It matches the Rfam family "Bacterial small subunit ribosomal RNA", at positions 524 to 776 of the family's 1533-position model. The record is from RNAcentral.
UACGAAGGGGGCUAGCGUUGCUCGGAAUUACUGGGCGUAAAGCGCACGUAGGCGGAUUGUUAAGUCGGGGGUGAAAUCCUGGAGCUCAACUCCAGAACUGCCUUUGAUACUGAGGAUCUUGAGUUCGGGAGAGGUGAGUGGAACUGCGAGUGUAGAGGUGAAAUUCGUAGAUAUUCGCAAGAACACCAGUGGCGAAGGCGGCUCACUGGCCCGAUACUGACGCUGAGGCAUGAAAGCGUGGGGAGCAAACAGG